GACGAACCGUGCGAACGUUAUUCGGAAUCAUUGGGCUUAAAGGGCGCGUAGGCGGCGGCGUAAGUUGGAAGUGAAAUCCCAUCGGCUCAACCGUGGAAUUGCUCCCAGUACUGCGUCGCUCGAGGGGGAUAGGGGUCUGCGGAACUACCGGUGGAGCGGUGAAAUGUGUUGAUAUCGGUGGGAACGCCAGUGGCGAAAGCGGCAGACUGGACCCCUCCUGACGCUGAUGCGCGAAAGCUAGGGGAGCAAACGGG
This 254-nucleotide ribosomal RNA is filed under the name uncultured bacterium. RNAcentral describes it as "partial 16S ribosomal RNA". It matches the Rfam family "Bacterial small subunit ribosomal RNA", at positions 524 to 776 of the family's 1533-position model. The record is from RNAcentral.